This is a long non-coding RNA of Puma concolor (puma), 833 nucleotides long. RefSeq lists it as uncharacterized. NCBI's taxonomy places the organism in Eukaryota, Metazoa, Chordata, Mammalia, Carnivora, Felidae. The record is from RefSeq and is a predicted model, not a curated record.
AGACUCUGGUAUGAACUGUUCUGGGAGAAGAAGCGGAGAGGAGAUUUUAAUGGACUCACUGGGAAACCAGUUCAAAUGAGAGAAAGUAGGUGUUGAUGGUGGCGGGCGAGCGGCUGACGGUCCCGACGCAUUCCGUCUUUUACGGGACAAGCCACGGUGAAAUCCACCUUGCGCCGAGUUACCUGCAUUUUGAGGUCUCCUGGACCUAGGAUGUCGUGAGCGGUGACACAGCCAAACAUGUCCUGGAUACUGCAGAGAAGGUGGGUUGCAGCUGUGGGCAGUUAUCUGGAUCAACUUGAAGCCCCGUGUUUUGAAGCUUUUCAGCGGGAAUCCUCCCACCCAGGAGUUACUACUGGACCUCUCCAGAAAAGAAUGCUCUUGUAGAACUGUGAAUGGGCUCGUUGCUGAACCGCCCUCCAACGGAGAAAUGAUGGGAGCACCUAUAACCUCAUCAGGAGCAUCAACAUAGUCUCCCUUGUUUAUCUGUCCAUUUCCUCUACAGAACUGUGAAUUCCAUGUGGCCAGGCACCCGUUAUCUAUCUCUAAGUUGGAAGAAUUUCCCAACCCCGGCAUUAUUAUAUUUGGAUCAGAUAAUUCUCUGUUGUUGGGGGCUGUCCUACGCAUCAUGAAUGUUCAGUAGCACCCUUGACUUCUACUCACUAGAUGCCAGAGGCACCUCCUCACUCCAGGGUGUGAUGGACGACUAAAAAAUGUCUCCAGACAUUGCCCCAGGAAGGCAAAAUUGCCCCCACUUAAAAAUCACUAAGCUCGGGGCGCCUGGGUGGCACAGUAGGUUAAGCGUCCGACUUCAGCCAGGUCACGAUCUCGCGGUC